Molecule: long non-coding RNA, 218 nt
Filed under: Elaeis guineensis (African oil palm)
Lineage: Eukaryota; Viridiplantae; Streptophyta; Magnoliopsida; Arecales; Arecaceae
Description: long non-coding RNA (EGUI_LNC078587)
Source: RNAcentral
UAGAUCAGUAAGACUGCAGUAUCCACUAGAAAUCGAUCACAUAUAGAUUUUUAUUUCUCCAUCUGAGGAGUGUGAGAGAUUCAAAAAAAUGGUAGGAGACUUAUUUGAUUUUAAAAGUCACUAAAAUAAAUAUUUAAUAAGUACAAACAUCUAAUUAAAAACUAUUCUCUUUACAGAUAACCAUGUCGAGUGCCAACCCUUUAGCCCAUAUCCUUGAC